This 628-nucleotide long non-coding RNA is filed under the name Mytilus galloprovincialis (Mediterranean mussel). Lineage: Eukaryota; Metazoa; Mollusca; Bivalvia; Mytilida; Mytilidae. The record is from RNAcentral.
CCAGGGGACUCAAAUAAAAACAUUCCAGGGUUAUACGGUUAACGGUUUAUGAGUUAAAAAAACAUACCGACAAAUUUAUUCCGUAAAGGUACAUAACUCCUAUAAAAUUUCAUCGAAUCGCUUCGAUCCAAAUUAGCCAAAAAUUCCUGAGGAUGUAACGAACAAUUUGUAAAAAGAAUUUUGUCGCUUUCUUAUUUUGUUACGAAGGAGAUGCACACACAUGACAAACAGUGAAUAGGGAGAUAACUCUUACAAAGAAAAUGGUUCGGCUUAGCAGGGUGAAAUUUAAAAGCGCAUAAACUAUACGAUACAAUAUGAAAAAAAUCUAAGCGACAUAUUGCGAAACAAACAUUUAUCGCAAGAACAAAAUUUGGCGGAAGAAAAAAAAAAAAAAAAAAAAAUAAUAAUAAUAAUAAAGAAAUACAAUAGGUCUUUCCACAGAAAGGUGGAAAGACCUAAUAAUAAUAAUCAGAACAAAUACAAUAGGCUUUCCACAGAAAAGUGGAAAGACCUAAUAAUCAGAACAAAAACAAUAAGUCUUUCCACAGAAAAGUGGAAAGACUUAAUAAUAAUCAGAACAAAAACAAUAAGUCUUUCCACAAAAAAGUGGAAAGACUUAAUAAUCAGA